UACGGGAAGGGCAAGCGUUAUUCAACAUGACUGGGCGUAAAGAGUCCGUAGACUGUAAAGUAAGUUACCUGUUAAAACUCAAAGCCCAACUUUGAACCAACUUGUAAUACUGCUUGACUUGAGUUUUAUACAGAAAAGUAGAAUUUUAUACGAAAGGGUAAAAUCUGGAAAUAUAUAAAGGAAUACCGUUAGCGAAGGCGGCUUUUUGGUAAAAACUGACGUUGAGGGACGAAAGUGUGGGGAGCAAACAGG
Molecule: ribosomal RNA, 252 nt
Filed under: uncultured prokaryote
Description: partial 16S ribosomal RNA
Rfam family: Bacterial small subunit ribosomal RNA
Source: RNAcentral